GCGGGUGUAGCCAAGUUGGUUAAGGCAGUAGAUUGUGACUCUACCAGUCGCGGGUUCAAGUCCCGUCAUUCGCC
Molecule: transfer RNA, 74 nt
Filed under: Pseudochloris wilhelmii
Lineage: Eukaryota; Viridiplantae; Chlorophyta; Trebouxiophyceae; Chlorellales; Chlorellaceae
Description: tRNA-His
Rfam family: tRNA
About the family: Transfer RNA (tRNA) molecules are approximately 80 nucleotides in length. Their secondary structure includes four short double-helical elements and three loops (D, anti-codon, and T loops).
Source: RNAcentral